GAAACAGGGCGACACUCCUCACAAAAUGGUCAGUAAGCGGAUAUUUUGUGACAGCACGCAGCCGAGCCGAUGUUGGCCAUUGUUCUAAAACAGGACGGUAUGUGAGCUGAGAGAGGAUGAGCUGAGUCCUGAUGAUCCAGAGGUUGAAUCAGCAGCAGCUUGUGUGUAGAGAGACUCUGACUGGACCAUGUUACUGGGAGGUGGAGUCAAGAGGAGAGCUUCAUCCACAUGUUUCUCCAUGUCAGACCAGUGGUGUAGUCUAUGUGAUACACAGCGUUCACUUUUGGACCAUGGGGGCUUCCGUCAAGCGUGACGUGGACCCGACGUUAACUACUAAGGAAGCAGUGAAGUUGUGCGGCGGGAACGAGUCGACAACUUGAACUGGUCCAACGCUCGUUAGUGGAGAAGGAAUGUGGAGAAAAAAACAAUGAAAAGAAAGAAAAGGAAGCCCAGUGACACUAUUUGAGAUGGUAGGGAAGGAGAGCUGAUGACGCUGUCGUCCUACCUGGUAAGUGGAACUCAUGUAUGUUAGAAUAAUAGUCACCACUAUUGGAACAGCAGCUGAUUGGCUCAUUGAAUUCUAUCUAAAACUAGUCACUGGUGGUUUGGUUGAAAUCAAGGAGCUGCUGCUGCUGCUGCUCUGUGUGUGUGUUUGUGUAGAUGAGAACUGGACCUGGCCAGCCUUGUGGAGUGAGAGUCAGGAGAGGGAAUUUAAAAACAGGCCUCCUUGGUUAGAGCGGAGAAACGGAAAGUUAGGGAAACAUUAGACGACAUUUAAAGCUGCUAGAAACAGUUUAAAUGUACAGAGAUAACGCUGUGUUCACAUGUUAAUGUAGUUCAUUCAGAAAGUUGUUCAUUAAAAUGAAAUUAAUUCAUUGUCGUCUUAUUAAUUAAGACCCCAUGUUCACCAUUAAAUGACUGAUGUGUUGGAUAUAGUUGAGUUUUUCCUCCUUUUGUCUAGUUUUCAGGCCUUUUCUUCUCCAUGGCUGAAGAUUGUAAACAGUUCAUUAAUAGUUGUGUCUCUGUUCAGCAGGUCUUAAUGCUAAUAUAGAUACAAAAAGGACAAUAAU
Molecule: long non-coding RNA, 1070 nt
Organism: Mugil cephalus (flathead mullet)
Lineage: Eukaryota; Metazoa; Chordata; Actinopteri; Mugiliformes; Mugilidae
Exons: 3
Source: RefSeq, a predicted model, not a curated record